AUUGAACGCUGGCGGCAGGCCUAACACAUGCAAGUCGAGCGGAUGGAGGGAGCUUGCUCCUGGAUUCAGCGGCGGACGGGUGAGUAAUGCCUAGGAAUCUGCCUGGUAGUGGGGGAUAACGUCCGGAAACGGGCGCUAAUACCGCACACGUCCUGAGGGAGAAAGUGGGGGAUCUUCGGACCUCACGCUAUCAGAUGAGCCUAGGUCGGAUUAGCUAGUUGGUGGGGUAAAGGCCUACCAAGGCGACGAUCCGUAACUGGUCUGAGAGGAUGAUCAGUCACACUGGAACUGAGACACGGUCCAGACUCCUACGGGAGGCAGCAGUGGGGAAUAUUGGACAAUGGGCGAAAGCCUGAUCCAGCCAUGCCGCGUGUGUGAAGAAGGUCUUCGGAUUGUAAAGCACUUUAAGUUGGGAGGAAGGGCAGUAAGUUAAUACCUUGCUGUUUUGACGUUACCAACAGAAUAAGCACCGGCUAACUGCGU
This 483-nucleotide ribosomal RNA is filed under the name uncultured bacterium. RNAcentral describes it as "partial 16S ribosomal RNA". It matches the Rfam family "Bacterial small subunit ribosomal RNA", at positions 30 to 506 of the family's 1533-position model. The record is from RNAcentral.